Molecule: long non-coding RNA, 593 nt
Organism: Sus scrofa (pig)
Lineage: Eukaryota; Metazoa; Chordata; Mammalia; Artiodactyla; Suidae
Source: RefSeq, a predicted model, not a curated record
GGCAGCAUCCUCAAAGCAAUGGCGGAAGGCGCCCAGCGUCGUCUUCGAUACUCCCCAUCUCCGCGGUGGAGUUUGAUCAGCUCAGGAUCUGCGAGGUCAGCCCCAAAGGCGACUCAGGGGAACUUUUAGGUGCUUUGCAUCGGGACAGACCUGCAGGACCAGGAUGAAGACCCUCUUCACUGUGCACAUUUAUACCUGAGGGGCCCCCAGAAGGAGGAGGAUCAGGAGGUGAAGUGACUUGCCCAAGGCCACCCAGAUGCUAAAUGAGGGAGCUUGUCUGGACUGCAGGUGUUCUGACCCAGAGGCAUCGAGGAAGAGCCAUGAGAGUUACCAGGGAGACUUUGGCUGUCUGCAACCCAAAGGAAGCGCUCUCAUCAGACACCAACCCUGCUGGCACCUUGAUCUUGGAUUUCUGCUCUGAGGAUCCGGGAGAAAAUAAAAAAUUCUAUUGUUGAAGCCAUGCAGUUUGUGCUAUUUUGUUAAAACUGCCUGAGCUGAUUAACAGUUGGGUCUCUCCUGGUGUUCUUUUGCCUUACUAUAAGUAUGACUAGACACAUGCCGUCACCCCAGCCUGAAAGGAAUCAUUAUCAUGG